Molecule: non-coding RNA, 974 nt
Filed under: Glaucidium cuculoides (Asian barred owlet)
Lineage: Eukaryota; Metazoa; Chordata; Aves; Strigiformes; Strigidae
Description: 12S ribosomal RNA
Rfam family: Bacterial small subunit ribosomal RNA
Source: RNAcentral
AAAGACUUAGUCCCAACCUUACUAUUAGUUGCUACCAAACACAUACAUGCAAGUAUCCGCGCCCCAGUGUAAAUGCCCCCGCCUUGCUUGAACCCUGGGCCGGGGGGCAGGUAUCAGGCACACAACCACCCACGUAGCCCAAGACACCUUGCACUGGCCACACCCCCACGGGCAUUCAGCAGUAGUUAACAUUGAGCAAUAGGCGCAAGCCUGACUCAGUUAUGGUAGCACCCAGGGUUGGUAAAUCUUGUGCCAGCCACCGCGGUCAUACAAGAAACCCAAAUUAAUAGUAAACGGCGUAAAGAGUGGCACAACCAUAUCCCGCCAACUAGGGCUGAGAUGUAAUCAAGCCGUCACACGCCCAGAGUAUGCUCAAAACCACCGCCAAGGCGGCCCUAGCCCACGCUCGACGAACAAACCCCACGAAAGCCAGGACUCAAACUGGGAUUAGAUACCCCACUAUGCCCGGCCCUAAACCUCGGUGUUCCACCCCAAACCAAAACACCCGCCAGAGUAUUACGAGCACAAACGCUUAAAACUCUAAGGACUUGGCGGUGCCCCAAACCCAUCUAGAGGAGCCUGUCCUAUAAUCGACAACCCACGAUACACCCAACCGCCCCUUGCACAAGCAGCCUACAUACCGCCGUCGCCAGCCCACCUUAUGAGAGCACCACAGUGAGCACAAAAGCAAACCCGCUAACAAGACAGGUCAAGGUAUAGCCCAUGGGACGGAAGAGAUGGGCUACAUUUUCUAAAAUAGAAGACAACGGACAGGGACAUGAAACUGUCCCUCAAAGGCGGAUUUAGCAGUAAAGACAGUCCCAUAAAACUGUCUUUAAGAUGGCCCUGGAGCACGUACAUACCGCCCGUCACCCUCAUCACAAACCACUCUCACUUAUCCCUAAUACCACUACAGGUCAAAGAUGAGGUAAGUCGUAACAAGGUAAGUGUACCGGAAGGUGCACUUGGCAUAC